RNAcentral lists this ribosomal RNA (254 nucleotides) under uncultured bacterium. RNAcentral's name for it is "partial 16S ribosomal RNA". It matches the Rfam family "Bacterial small subunit ribosomal RNA", at positions 524 to 776 of the family's 1533-position model. The record is from RNAcentral.
CACGUAGGGUGCGAGCGUUUGUCCGGAAUUAUUGGGCGUAAAGAGCUCGUAGGCGGUGUGUCGCGUCGGCCGUGAAAACCUGCAGCUUAACUGUGGGCUUGCGGUCGAUACGGGCAUCACUGGAGUUCGGCAGGGGAGACUGGAAUUCCUGGUGUAGCGGUGAAAUGCGCAGAUAUCAGGAGGAACACCGGUGGCGAAGGCGGGUCUCUGGGCCGAUACUGACGUGAGGAGCGAAAGCAUGGGGAGCGAACAGG